GUCUCAGGGGCGGGGCGCAGUUCUUGCGGGAGGAGCGGGGCGGUGCGCUCCUGGCCACGCAGGCUGGAAACUGUAGCUCUUAACGGUUCCCCGCCCGUUGGUGGCAAGGCGGCUGGACUAGAAUCCUAGCAGGCGAUAUGCGAGAAGGCGGGCAGCCCAAGAGGGUUGGGCAGGGCAGUGUGGAUCUCGCCGCUUCCACAGCGAUGCUGGCUACUGAUUUCGGACACCUCCUUGCCAUGGGAUGGAAAUUAAUGUUAUGACUGGAUAAGACAAUUGUGAAGAAACUGCACUUCGAGGUUGUCUGUCUCCGUAUUCCGAUGGAAAAGGCUGGACUUUAGAAGCAUUGCUCGCUCCUUCAGUUUCUAACAAGAGUUUUACAGUUUCUGAUUAAAUACCAAUGGGAUAUCACCUCCCAUCUCUUAGGAUGGCUGUUAUAAAAAGGACAAGAGAUAACAAGUGUUGGUGAUGGUGUGGAGAGAAGGGAACCUUUGUACACUGCUGGUUAAAAUGAAAUGAAAUCAGCAUCUGAUAGAGAUAUCUUCACUCCCCUCUUCUCCGUGCCCCACCACAGCAUUGCUCCCAACAGCCAAGCCAUGGGAUGAAGUUACUGUGCAUUGAUGGAUGAGUGGAGAAAAGAAAAUGUGGGGGAGGUGUUUGUGCAUGUAUGUGUGUGUGUGUAUAAUAUAUAAUAAUAUAAUAUUUUUCAGCUUUUAAGAAGUUGAAGAUACUGCCAUUUGUGAUAACAUAAAUGAAUCUGGAGGAUAUUAAGCUAAGUAAAAUAACUUAGGGAGAGAGAAAAAUACUGCAUAAUUUCUGUUACAUAUGAAAUCUUUAAAAAGGUUUAAUACAUAGAGACAUGAUAGAGUGAUGAUUUGGGGGAUAAGAGACACAAGUCAACGUUUCAGUUAUAUAAAAUAAAUGAAUCUAGAGGACUAAAGUACAAUUUAAAGGUUAUAGUUACUAUUUUUAUAUUAUAUACUAGUGAUUUUUGAACAGGGUAAACUUUAGGUGCUUUGACACCAAAAGGAAACUACAUGAGUUCAUGUAUAUGUUAAAUUGUUUGACCGCAGUCAUCAUUGAUAUGUAUAUGUAUAUAUAUAUAAUUAUGGGCUCAUUAAAUUUAAAUGCUAUAAAUAGGUAACAAAGAAUAAAGUUAAUUGAAAAACUGCAUCAUUAGACUUGAUUUUGCCUACAUGAAAAACUGAAACUGCCUCCUAAAUAUUAAUAUUUGUACAUCGCAUAAAGUUUAUAUGUUGGAAAUAUGUUUAAAGAAAAGGAAUUAUAAAUUUUAAUAAACACAGAAUGACACAGUAAAUGCAAAACAGUAGAAAGAGAUGAAAAUCUGAUUAAUCAGAGUGGUUAAUGCUUAGAUAUAAUUAAUGAUGUGUUAGGAGCAAUUUCAAGCCACUUCCACAUAGAUUUAAUACCAAAGAGUUUAUGUGUACACAG
Molecule: long non-coding RNA, 1449 nt
Filed under: Homo sapiens (human)
Lineage: Eukaryota; Metazoa; Chordata; Mammalia; Primates; Hominidae
Description: HSALNT0341030
Source: RNAcentral